This 253-nucleotide ribosomal RNA is filed under the name uncultured bacterium. RNAcentral describes it as "partial 16S ribosomal RNA". It matches the Rfam family "Bacterial small subunit ribosomal RNA", at positions 524 to 776 of the family's 1533-position model. The record is from RNAcentral.
UACAGAGGGUGCAAGCGUUGUUCGGAAUUACUGGGCGUAAAGGGCUCGUAGGCGGCCAACUAAGUCAGACGUGAAAUCCCUCGGCUUAACCGGGGAACUGCCUCUGAUACUGGAUGGCUUGAGAUUGGGAGAGGGAUGCGGAAUUCCAGGUGUAGCGGUGAAAUGCUUAGAUAUGACAUAGAACACCAAUUGCGAAGGCAGCUGGCUACAGGGAUAUUGACACUGAGGCACGAAAGCGUGGGGAUCAAACAGG